Molecule: long non-coding RNA, 2368 nt
Organism: Gasterosteus aculeatus aculeatus (three-spined stickleback)
Lineage: Eukaryota; Metazoa; Chordata; Actinopteri; Perciformes; Gasterosteidae
Source: Ensembl
GAGGAAAAAUUGUACACAGAAAUGAUUCCCACCAGCCUGUGUGCGGACGUGUGUGUGUGUGCGCGCUGUAGUAGUUCUGUCCUUGUGAGGCCCGACUUUAGAGGGAUUCGAGUGAGAUUGUUUUGGACUUUUUGCUGCGUCACACACGAGCAACACGAGGUGUGUCGGCUAGAAUGAGGUUAAGAGCAAAGCCGGGUUGAAGCAAUUAAAGUAGUUUGGGUUAAAGUAAAGUCAUUUAAUGUCAGUCACAGGUUGGUCCUCACAAGACUGAUCUGCACUGCGCGUGUGUGUGUGUGUGUUUUCCCUGUUGUGGAGGUGCAAAGCCAUUUGUUUUAGCUGAUGAUAAAGGCACCAGUACAUUUGGAGCGACAGAGUAGGGAAUUAUAAGAACGUGUGUGUGGAACUGGAAUUGGAACCGGCACGGCUCGGGCCCCGAGGAACGCACGCACACACACACACACACACACGCACAACUCAUACUAGUAACGCUGUGAUGUAGCUUCACCAGACAACUCAAACGCACUUAUCCUUUGUCUUUCUCUCCGACUGUGAUCGAUAGACGCACACACAUCCAGGCUGCCAUGUAAGCUCAGCUACGCCCCGUUUUAAAGAGGGAGAUUUCUGUGUCACACUCUAUGUGCCGGUGGAUGUUGACGGACAAGCAAGGCACAUAAGGGGAAGUGGAGUCCCACAUUUGAACUCCACACUUGAUGAAUAACGUCACGACAGGUAUCGGAGAUGCCCUGGAUCGGUAUUGGCCGUGAAACUGACCUUUCCGAGCGGAUCGGCCAGCUGUGACUGAUUCCACGCAGGACAUUUUUCAUCAAUGUGAAGAUCAUUUAUUUUUGUUAACCAUAGGUUACAUUUAUUCAAUCAAUCGACUGGUCGUAGUGCAAAGUCUCCCCUCCGCUGAAUGGCAGGUUCAUUUUUUUGUUGCCUUUCGGCUUUAAGCGUCACUUCAAUUGCAACUGCAAUUCCAUUCCCUUCGUCUCCUUUGAUUUUGAAACCAAACGUGCAUUUGCAUAGAUUUUUUUUUUUUUUUUUUUACAAAUGGCAGACAUCUUUUCCACUACAUGGGUGGAAAAACAGGAGAAGGAAAGGAAAGGUUUCUUGUAUUACCAGGGAGUUCUAGCAUUCAUAUAUUACAACAUAUAACAUGCAUAAUAUAGCAUGCAUUGCAUAAUUGAAAAGCGUUGUUACCCUCACCGAGAAAAUAUGUCACUAACAUAUUAAAGUUGCCCCUAACAUCAUGUUUGUAAACUUAAAUUGUCAUAAUACACAAUUACAGUUGAUGUGUACUUUCACACGUUAACUGUGUUUAAAAUCUGCAUCAUUCAAAACUAUUAGCAGGUUCUAAUUGGCCCACAUUUAACCCCGAACUUAUUUAGCAUUUGACAAAUAUAUGGAAUACCUAUUUGUGAGGUUUAUUAUGAUGCUAAUCAGAGACAUCAAUGAUUUCGCAGUUAAAAAACAAAUGUCCUAGUUUGUCGCCGUAUCCUCCCCUCAGCAUGUUUCCCCAUCUGCUCCUUUCGUUUUAUUGCACUCUCUCUCUUUUCUGCUUCACUCUCCUUUAAUUUAUUCCCAUCAUUUACAUCCAGGUCACUUUCACACAAACACCGUGUGUUUAUACCAGAGAUUCCCAGUGACCAUCAGUUACAGGACGUUAAAAUCAGGCAUGUAAAAGUUCCUUCGGUGGAUUUAACUUUUACUUCAAUGAUGUCAGAACAAAUGUGAAUUUCAUUUGAGACGGAAAUUUUGUGUUGCUGUUUUCUGAAUUUGCUGUCUGUGAGUUUAAAUGGCAGAAGUUAUUACAGUAAUAUUUCUGAAAGGGAUAACAAACAGGCUCCAAAAGAAAGAGUCUUUUUAUUUAUUUUAUAAUGCAAAAGUAAAGAAACAAACAAUCACUUAUGUUGCAAACCCAUUUGUUCUUAUCCUAUAAAGUCUGUAGGUGUAUUAUUGUAUAACGCUUUUACUUUAUAAAGGAUGCCAACCAUUGCUUCUUUAAAGUCUGUAUUAAAUUCAACGCAGCAGCACGGAAGGAGGAAAAGAAAAGCCAAAAGCCGAAAAUGACCUCGAGAACGUCUUGUAGCUCAGCGACUGCUUUGGUUUGUCCGUGACAAUAUGCCAGAAAUCAUAAUAUUACCAUCAGUCAAAUUAGGGAGAGAGCUAUUAGACAUCUAGUUAUAAUAAUUUGGGUGUGUUCAUGUGUGUGGGAAGGUGAGGUGGUCUCUGCAUGAAGGGAAACCACGGCCUGAUCCACAAAAGUGGAAGAGCAAAUAUGCAUAUAAAGAUUUAUAUAUACAUUGGAUGUCUUUUUAACUGUGGGUGUGUGUGUGUGUGUGAGAGAGAGAUGGAGAGAAAUAAAGGC